This 623-nucleotide ribosomal RNA is filed under the name uncultured Lachnospiraceae bacterium. RNAcentral describes it as "bacterial SSU rRNA". It matches the Rfam family "Bacterial small subunit ribosomal RNA", at positions 90 to 731 of the family's 1533-position model. Lineage: Bacteria; Bacillati; Bacillota; Clostridia; Lachnospirales; Lachnospiraceae. The record is from RNAcentral.
UCCUAGUGGCGGACGGGUGAGUAACGCGUGGGUAACCUGCCUCACACUGGGGGAUAACAGUCAGAAAUGACUGCUAAUACCGCAUAAGCACACGGGAUUGCAUGAUCCAGUGUGAAAAACUCCGGUGGUGUGAGAUGGACCCGCGUUGGAUUAGCCAGUUGGCAGGGUAACGGCCUACCAAAGCGACGAUCCAUAGCCGGCCUGAGAGGGUGGACGGCCACAUUGGGACUGAGACACGGCCCAGACUCCUACGGGAGGCAGCAGUGGGGAAUAUUGCACAAUGGGGGAAACCCUGAUGCAGCGACGCCGCGUGAAGGAAGAAGUAUCUCGGUAUGUAAACUUCUAUCAGCAGGGAAGAAAAUGACGGUACCUGACUAAGAAGCCCCGGCUAACUACGUGCCAGCAGCCGCGGUAAUACGUAGGGGGCAAGCGUUAUCCGGAUUUACUGGGUGUAAAGGGAGCGUAGACGGAGCAGCAAGUCUGAUGUGAAAGGCAGGGGCUCAACCCCUGGACUGCAUUGGAAACUGUUGAUCUUGAGUACCGGAGAGGUAAGCGGAAUUCCUAGUGUAGCGGUGAAAUGCGUAGAUAUUAGGAGGAACACCAGUGGCGAAGGCGGCUUACUG